UACGGGGGGGGCAAGCGUUGUUCGGAAUUACUGGGCGUAAAGGGCUCGUAGGCGGCCAACUAAGUCAGACGUGAAAUCCCUCGGCUUAACCGGGGAACGGCCUCUGAUACUGGAUGGCUUGAGUUUGGGAGAGGGAUGCGGAAUUCCAGGUGUAGCGGUGAAAUGCGUAGAUAUCUGGAGGAACACCGGUGGCGAAGGCGGCAUCCUGGACCAACACUGACGCUGAGGAGCGAAAGCCAGGGGAGCAAACGGG
Molecule: ribosomal RNA, 253 nt
Filed under: uncultured bacterium
Lineage: Bacteria
Description: partial 16S ribosomal RNA
Rfam family: Bacterial small subunit ribosomal RNA
Source: RNAcentral